RNAcentral lists this ribosomal RNA (499 nucleotides) under uncultured soil bacterium. RNAcentral's name for it is "bacterial SSU rRNA". It matches the Rfam family "Bacterial small subunit ribosomal RNA", at positions 8 to 524 of the family's 1533-position model. The record is from RNAcentral.
AGAGUUUGAUCCUGGCUCAGGACGAACGCUGGCGGCGCGCCUAAAACAUGCAAGUCGAACGAGAAGCCCGGGCUUGCCCGGGUGAACAGUGGCGAACGGGUGAGUAACACGUGAGGAACCUGCCCCGAAGACCGGGACAACACCGGGAAACCGGUGCUAAUACCGGAUGCCUUCACCGGAUCGCAUGGUCUGGUGAAGAAAUGGAUUCCGCUUCGGGAUGGCCUCGCGGCCUAUCAGCUUGUUGGUGAGGUAACGGCUCACCAAGGCAACGACGGGUAGCUGGUCUGAGAGGAUGUCCAGCCACACUGGGACUGAGACACGGCCCAGACUCCUACGGGAGGCAGCAGUUAGGAAUCUUGCGCAAUGGACGAAAGUCUGACGCAGCGACGCCGCGUGCGGGAUGAAGGCCCUCGGGUUGUAAACCGCUUUCAGCAGGGACGAAAUUGACGGUACCUGCAGAAGAAGCCCCGGCCAACUACGUGCCAGCAGCCGCGGUAAU